UGCAAGUUCUAACGGCUUNUAGCAAUACAGUCAGUGGCGCACGGGUUGUAGUAACGCGGUGGAUAUCUUGCCUUUUGGUUCGGAAUAACUCCGGGAAACUGGAGCUAAUACCGGAUGGUUCCUACGGGAUAAAGAUUUAUCGCCAAAAGAUGAGUCCGCGUACGAUUAGCUAGUUGGUGAGGUAAUGGCUCACCAAGGCGACGAUCGUUAGCUGGUCUGAGAGGACGAUCAGCCACACUGGGACUGAGACACGGCCCAGACUCCUACGGGAGGCAGCAGUGGGGAAUAUUGGACAAUGGGGGCAACCCUGAUCCAGCCAUGCCGCGUGAGUGAUGAAGGCCUUCGGGUUGUAAAGCUCUUUUGGCGGGGACGAUGAUGACGGUACCCGCAGAAUAAGCCCCGGCUAACUUCGUGCCAGCAGCCGCGGUAAGACGAAGGGGGCUAGCGUUGUUCGGAAUUACUGGGCGUAAAGCGAGUGUAGGUGGUUGUCAUAAUCAAGUGUGAAAACCUUGAGCUCAACUCCAUGAAAUGCUCUUGAUACUGGGCGACUAUCAGGACCUGAGAGGAUAUAGGAAUUCCCAGUGUAGUUGGUGAGAACACGUAAUAGAUUGU
RNAcentral lists this ribosomal RNA (612 nucleotides) under uncultured bacterium. RNAcentral's name for it is "bacterial SSU rRNA". It matches the Rfam family "Bacterial small subunit ribosomal RNA", at positions 56 to 700 of the family's 1533-position model. The record is from RNAcentral.